Molecule: microRNA precursor, 103 nt
Filed under: Marmota monax (woodchuck)
Lineage: Eukaryota; Metazoa; Chordata; Mammalia; Rodentia; Sciuridae
Source: RNAcentral
AGUAGGAUAACUGGGUCAAAUGGUGAUUUCACACCCAGUUUUCUGAGGAAUCUCCUUACUGUUUUCCAGAGUGGUUGCACCAAUUUGAAUUCCCACCAGCAAU